GCACAGGCAUGGAGGCACGUGCCUGUAGCCCUAGCUACCAGGGAGGCUGAGGCUAGAGGAUUGCUUGAGUCCAGGAGUUCUGGGUUGCUGUGCGCUAUGCCGAUCGGGUGUCCACACUAAGUUCAGCAUCAAUAUGGUGACCUCCCGGGAGCGGGGGACCAUCAGGUUACCCAAGGAGGGGUGAAUCGGCCCAGGAUGGAGCAGGUCAAAACUCCUGUGCUGAUCAGUAAUGUAUCCACAUUUUGGAGGUUGUGAACUUCUUUGUUUCUUUUAUAUCUACUCAU
Molecule: signal recognition particle RNA, 284 nt
Filed under: Carlito syrichta (Philippine tarsier)
Lineage: Eukaryota; Metazoa; Chordata; Mammalia; Primates; Tarsiidae
Description: Metazoan signal recognition particle RNA (ENSTSYG00000036363.1)
Rfam family: Metazoan signal recognition particle RNA
About the family: The signal recognition particle (SRP) is a universally conserved ribonucleoprotein. It is involved in the co-translational targeting of proteins to membranes.
Source: RNAcentral